This 492-nucleotide ribosomal RNA is filed under the name uncultured bacterium. Its description in RNAcentral is "partial 16S ribosomal RNA". It matches the Rfam family "Bacterial small subunit ribosomal RNA", at positions 29 to 507 of the family's 1533-position model. The record is from RNAcentral.
AGUGAGCGCUGGCGGUAGGCCUAACACAUGCAAGUCGAACGGCAGCACAGUAAGAGCUUGCUCUUACGGGUGGCGAGUGGCGGACGGGUGAGGAAUACAUCGGAAUCUACUUUUUCGUUGGGGAUAACGUAGGGAAACUUACGCUAAUACCGCAUACGACCUACGGGUGAAAGCAGGGGAUCUUCGGACCUUGCGCGAUUGAAUGAGCCGAUGUCGGAUUAGCUAGUUGGCGGGGUAAAGGCCCACCAAGGCGACGAUCCGUAGCUGGUCUGAGAGGAUGAUCAGCCACACUGGAACUGAGACACGGUCCAGACUCCUACGGGAGGCAGCAGUGGGGAAUAUUGGACAAUGGGCGCAAGCCUGAUCCAGCCAUACCGCGUGGGUGAAGAAGGCCUUCGGGUUGUAAAGCCCUUUUGUUGGGAAAGAAAAGCAGCAGGUUAAUACCCCGCUGUUCUGACGGUACCCAAAGAAUAAGCACCGGCUAACUUCGUG